CGCCUCUUGCUAACUUAAGUAUAAGAGGUCCAGCCUGCCCUGUGACUAUGAUUUAACGGCUGCGGUAUAUUAACCGUGCAAAGGUAGCACAAUCACUCGUCUUUUAAUUGAAGGCCCGUAUGAAUGGCAUCACGAGGGCUAAACUGUCUCCUUCCUCAGGUCAAUGAAAUUGAUCUCCCCGUGCAGAAGCGGGGAUAAAAAUAUAAGACGAGAAGACCCUGUGGAGCUUUAGACUAUUAGCUGAAUUAUGUCGAUAAACCCAAACAAAAGAAUAGAAUUAAAUAAUACUCUACUAUAUAUCUUCGGUUGGGGCGACCACGGGGUAUAAAAAAACUCCCGAGAGGAAGGUUACUUCCGCGAUUUUAGAAUAUCAAUUGUAGAACCCAAAAUAUUUGAAUAAAGGAUCCGGCUAAGCCGAUCAACGAAAUGAGUUACCCUAGGGAUAACAGCGCAAUCCUCUUCAAGAGUCCAUAUCGACAAGAGGGUUUACGACCUCGAUGUUGGAUCAGGACAUCCUAAUGGUGCAGCAGCUAUUAAGGGUUCGUUUGUUCAACGAUAAAAGUCCU
Molecule: ribosomal RNA, 566 nt
Filed under: Histiogamphelus briggsii
Lineage: Eukaryota; Metazoa; Chordata; Actinopteri; Syngnathiformes; Syngnathidae
Also listed under: 2 other names
Description: partial 16S ribosomal RNA
Rfam family: Bacterial large subunit ribosomal RNA
Source: RNAcentral